RNAcentral lists this long non-coding RNA (1145 nucleotides) under Homo sapiens (human). RNAcentral's name for it is "non-protein coding lnc-CALML6-2:1". Lineage: Eukaryota; Metazoa; Chordata; Mammalia; Primates; Hominidae. The record is from RNAcentral.
CCUUCUUGUUGCCCAGGCUGGAGUGCAAUGGCACGAUCUCGGCUCACUGCAACCUCAGCCUCCCGAGUAGCUGGAAUUACAGGCAUGCAUCACCAUGCCUGGGUAAUUUUUUGUAUUUUUAGUAGAGAUGGCGGGUGCCUGUAAUCCCAGCUACUCGGGAGGCUGAGACUGGAGAAUCACUUGAACCCGUGAGAUGGUGGUUGCAGUGAGCCGAGAUUGCGCCACUGCACUCCAGACUGGGUGGCUGAGUGGGACUCUGUCUCACAAAAAAAGCUUUCAGCAUUCCACUAAUCCACUAGCAAACUCAAAUGUCUAUAGAUUGUCUCUAUUUCUUCAAUCAAAGUUCUAGAACAAAAUGCAUAGCUUUGAAAUAGGUGGUGCUCUGUCCCUCUCCCAGAGCAGCUGAUGUGAUGUUGCAUUUCUCUCUCUUCAUACACACUCACUCCCAUAUACGUUGGCCCUGCUUUUUCUUUCAGUAAUGUUGAACACUGCAGUUUCAUAAAUUUCUGAUAGUUUCCAUUUUAAAUUUAUUUUAUCUCCUCAUUCUGUGUUCCUAAACCAAACACUUAACUGAAUUGCCUACUUCAUAAUCUCUCCAACCACUCUUAACAAAUGCAAACCUGAAAUCAGAAUGUAAACCAGUUUAAAAUUUUUUUUAUUUUUAUUUUUUGAGACGGAGUCUCGCUGUGUCGCCCAGGCUGGAGUGCAGUGGCCGAUCUUGGCUCACUGCAAGCUCCCCCUCCCGGGUUCCUGCCAUUCUCCUGCCUCAGCCUCCUGAGUAGCUGGGAUUACAGGUGCCCAGCACCACGCCCAGCUAAUUUUUUGUAGAGAAGUAAUUUUAGUAGAGAAGGGGUUUCACCGUGUUAGCCAGGGUGGUCUCGAUCUCCUGACCUCAUGAUCCGCCUGACUCGGCCUCCCAAAGUGCUGGGAUUACAGGUGUGAGCCACCACGCCCGGUCAAACCAGUUUAAAAUUUUAUAAAAAUUUUUGUUCCAUGUCUUGUGAGACUUACACUAAAUAGGGGUUUCAAAAUAACAUGGCCUGCCAUAUGGUCAAGCCAGAUUUAAAAAUUGAGAAUAUCUAUUACCAAUCCACUAAUGCUAAAGCCAAAGUCACAGACAGUAAGAAUGUAAUCCAAUUUAGAGA